Molecule: non-coding RNA, 2146 nt
Organism: Prunus avium (sweet cherry)
Lineage: Eukaryota; Viridiplantae; Streptophyta; Magnoliopsida; Rosales; Rosaceae
Source: RefSeq, a predicted model, not a curated record
GAACACUGGCUCAAACUCAGUGCCCUUGUUGUUGUGAACUUGUGAUCAGAUGAGUGAGGAAGUGCAGGGUGCAAGCAAGCAACCAUGGUUGCUAAGUUAACAGCAAACCCAGCAAUCCAGCUUCCUUCAUCCAUCACUAAUAAUAAUUAAUUAAUUAAUUAAUUAAUUCUAUAAAAAAUAAAAUAAAACACGAUCAGUAACUCAAUCACCAGUGAUGUUGCCAGCUGCAGCUGUACGUGUCCUGCUCCCAGUGUCAGUGUCUGCGAUUUACGUAAUUUAUAGGUAUUUGCGAUCAAGACGGCAAACAGAGAUUUCUCCAAAUACCAGUAACAACGACGUCGUUCCACCCCCAAAUUCCGGUAACAACGACGUCGUUCCCUAUCCUGAACUGUCCGAUCGCGAUCGUACCAUCCUUGAAGAGAUUCUGAAAGAUAACCAUGUCCUCCUCGAUAAGAUUCGGGCACUCGAGCCCGCCUUCCUUGAUGGGCUUCGGAAAAUCAAGCCCGCCGUCCUCCGUGAGAUGGUGUUCGACUCUGCUGAAUUGGAUCCUGUCAUCGUUGAUGCGAUUUGUAAAUUGUCUUUGAAAGGAGGAAAGGAGGAAGGCGAAGAGAACGAAAAUGGAAACGUAAACGAGACGAAGAGCGAAGAGAGGGAUGAGGAAAGAAGCAGAAGCCGUCAUUACCCAGUGAGGCCUGGAGCUCGAGACUGUUGGUGUUAUCUCAAGACUGGGACUUGUAAGUUUGGGCCCAAUUGCAAGUUUAAUCACCCUCGCAUAACAACGAAAAACAAUCAGAAUUCCUUCAGGUCAGGAGGACGACGUUCAAAUCUCUAUGCUACCCCAAAUCCCAGUAACGACGACGUCCUUCCCCCAAAUUCCGACGUUCCCUCAAAUCUCGGUAACGACAACGUCUUUCCCCCAAAUCCCGGUGACCUUGACCGUGAAAAUGGAAAUGGAAACGAGACACAGAGCGAAGAGAGGGAUAAGGAAAGAAGCAGAAUCCGUCAUUACCCAGUGAGGUUUGAAGCUGGAGACUGUUGGUCUUAUCUAAACACUGGGACUUGUAAUUUUGGGCCCAAUUGCAAGUUUAAUCACCCUCGUAGAAGGAAAAACAGGAAAAAUAAUCAGAAUUACUUCAGAUCAGGAGGAUGUAAACCCGGAAAUGCUUUUUCUUUCAACCCCAAAAGGGGGGAACCUUCUGUGGCUCCAGUUCAAAAACUUAACUUUAUGGACCUGCCAAUUCGUCCGGGGGAGAAAGAAUGUCCUGACUAUAUGAAAAAUGGCUCGUGCAAGUCUGAAACUAACUGCACGUUUAAUCACCCUGAUCCUACCGCUACAGGAGAAACUGGCCCCCCAUCCGGAUACAUUGAUGGUGGACCUGCGUCAGUACAAGGUGCAUUGUCAUCAACAGCAUGGGAUUCCCUUUGUGUGCCAAUAAUUCCGCCAUCUCAAGGGAUUCCUUCCCAAAAUACAGAAUGGAAUGGUUCUCAGGAUCCAGAAUAUCUACCAGAGAGAAGCAUACCUGCACCUCCACCAUAUGUUAUGAACAAGGCCGUGACUGAAACCAACAUCUAUGAACAAAAUCCACAGCAGAAGCAAGUUGAAGAAUUCCCAGAACGACCUGGGCAACCUAUUUGCAUUUACUUCUUAAGAAAAGGGGAUUGCAAGCAUAGAUCUAAUUGCAAAUAUCACCAUCCAAAAAAUCAGACUGCAGUACCCCCCUCAUGUGCACUGAGUGACAAGGGCCUCCCUUUGAGACCAGGUGAGAACAUUUGCACACAAUACAGUAGCUAUGGCAUUUGCAAGUCUGGGCCAGCCUGUAAAUUUGACCAUCCGGUAUUAUCAACUUUCCUUCUGUGACUCAGCGACUACAAAUGGGGCAGGAACAUCUGGGAGUAGAAGUGAACUGCUGCUACAAUUCAGCCGCAGCCUGUGUAAUAAGUUUUGCCUGAAAUAGCUGCUGGAGCACAGGAUUCGCAUCACCAAGGACAUGUAAUCUCUUUUUGUUAGUCUUAUAAAUGUAUCAAAAAAUUUCUCCCAGCCACCACCUUUCACUUCUGUUAUGGAUGACUUUUAGGUCGCAAUAGAAAUGUGUACUAUUGACCCCCAAACCAAACGACUGCUAACAAGGGACAGGUUUUUUUUUUC